CCCGGUUAAUAACUAACUUCCCCGCAGGCGCACACCCAGAAGAAAGUCCCCUUCCCUUAGAGAUAGCGCUCUCCCCAAGGUGACGGGCGGCGCAGCAGAGGGCGGACGGGGGAGACCAGCCCGUCAGAACCGGGGGACUGCUCGCCGUGAGCCCGAAUGCCGGUGGGAUAUUUUUCGGGCUUCGCCAGGGACGGUUCCGCGGAUCAUCCCCCCCAGGGCCCGAGAAAAGGGGCGCUCAAAACCGUUCGUCGACGCGGAAGUACGCGACUAAAGUUCGACAUGGUUGAUGUCCAGGUCAGCAGUGUGAGGACUGCGUCGACAAGCAACCCUGAAGAUUCCUGGCUUAAAACCAAUAUAACCAUGGAAAAUCUCGGAGCUGAAGGUGAGCCUUCGUGGUUUGGAUUUUGGAUUCUGUAUUUUGGAAUACAAAAUGAAACUAACCAUCAACGAACAAGACUGUUUUCAUAUACAUUGAGACAUUCAAAACCAAACAAAUGAGCACAAAAAUCAAAUGCGUUUUGUUGUGUCUUUAAUUCCUGUGUUUUAUAUUCAUAUAUAUAUGUAGAGAGAUAUAUUUCAAAACCAUCGAAGUUUACUCCAAAGCCUUUAGCUCUGCUUUUGGUCUGACAAAAGUUAUUUCUCUGGGGGAAAAGGAUCUUUAUUGUCCAUUAACCAAUAUUGUAAUAAUGUAGUCGGCGGUGCUGGACAGUGCUGCAGUGCUGUACCGAACAGAUCCCAUCUCCCCACACGCCUCGGUCUUGUUAAACUCGACUCCCCGUUUCGCGCAGGGGAGACAUGGCGCGGUGUCGCCAUCGCGAUGAUUGUCGUCUGCCUGCUGCUCCUUGGGGCCAUCGGCGUGGGAGUCUGGUAUUUCCUCAGGGGCAGAGGUAAGCUCGUUCGGACCUGAAGUGUAAACAGUACAGGAUCAUUGUGCAGAAACACAUUCACGAAUAUGCGUCUUUGUGUGCUGUGUGUUUAAUGGUCCAUCACUGGGAGGUCUGUAAAGGUGUACAAGGUCAUAUUCAAGUUUCUUGUCAUUAUACUCAUAUACAGCUAUAUGGUAUAACGAAAUGCUAUUUAGCUGCCUCUCAGAUGGUAAGCAGUACAAAAAAACAACAACAAUACAAUUGUAUAAGAAAAGAAAGACAGAGACAACAGGCAAUGUGCAAAACAACAACAGGUAACAGGUAAUGUGCAAAACAACAUCAGAUGUGCAAAAUCAUACAUCAACAGAAUGAGAUAAAGGAUAGAAAAUUAUGGAGAGUGAGCUUCUUGACAUGUGAGGUAGAGGGAAAUUUCAAUGUGUGUUUGAGUUUUGGUAAAGAGAGAAGGCACUGUGAGGUUCAGAUCGUAGGUGAGAGAGGCUGGGAAUAAUAGUUUAAUAGUUUGAUAGUGCAGGGGUAAAAACUGUCCCUGAGUCUGGUAGUCCGGGCCCAGAUGCUCCAGUACCGUUUUCCAGAUGGUAGAGGGUCGUACAGUCUGUAGCUGGGGUUUGUGGGGGUCUUUGAUGAUGCUUAGAGCUUUCCUAAAGCACCGUCUGUCAUCAACGUCCUGGAUGGAUGGGAGAGCAACCCCAGUGAUGGACUGGGCAGUUUUUACCAGCCGCUGUAGGGCUUUGUAAUCCUAUAAAAUAAGGAUUAGUAUUAUUAUGAGCUCUGAGGCUCUGGGUGCGAUUCGUGGGGGUUUGUAUGGAGUAUUUGUGUGGGGUUUGUAUGUUCUCCCUGUGUUUGCAGCGGUUUCCUUCAGUUCCGACCACAGUCCAUUGUUAAUUUUGCCAGCAGUCUUGGAUUCAGUCAUAGUCUUAGUCAAGUUGACUAAAAUGUCUAUUAUUACAUCAGAGUCACUUUCUAGUCAUCCACUUUUAAUUUACUCUUGUUGACUACACUUUGACUAGAAUUACUCUUAUUCGACCUAUAAAAACAUUUGUUUUAGUCACAUUUUAGUUGUGCAAUUUAAUUUAUUUUCAUAAUAAAAUGUAGAAAGGUUUUGGUUUAUUCGUUUUUUGUCUAAAAUACAUUCUUAAGUUUAUUUCUUUUUAGUGGAGUAUUAAGGAAAUUAAAUUUAGUCCUUUUUUUAAUUUACAAGAUAAUUUGCAAUUGUUCUAAUGGCAUUGGAUUUAACUGUGUGGCACCCUUUUUACUUACAGUGUUAAGCAGGGAACAAGUGCACAAAAUAGAUUAGGAACCUGAACUGUUACUCUAAGAAAAUGUUUCACACAUCUGGUAACAUUCUAUCAAAAAGCAUAUGUCUUUGUUGCACAAUCUAAAGUAUAUUGAUCCAUAGAGAGGUCAAAUAUUAGAUACAAGAAAAAACUAUGCAAUAAAGGGUAAAUAAUAAAUAAUCUUCUACUGGAACAUUGUACGAGUAUUUCCUAACAAGAAAAUCUGUCUUGGCACUGUUAGUAAUUCCCUACUUUUGUUCAAGGAGUUUUAAAGCACUUUUGUUUGUAAAUACACAACUUUUAUCAAUGUUUCAAAGGGAAAUAUGGAACAGUCACACCCAUAUACCAGCACUAUAUGUACAUACAAUUAAACCCCUGUCCUUCACCCCAAGUCCCAGGAGUUAAUGUCCCUGAUAUCUCCCCACUGUGCCAGACAGGUCCCUUCUAUCCCAUCAUGCACUCCUGAGACUGACAUCACCAGCCCCUUUGCUUGUCCGCUCAGUGCCCCGUCACCGCCUGAUGGGGGCGCUACAUUAUUAACAACUCUCCCUCCUGACACCAGGCUGUCUCAGUUGAAAAGCUACCAUGGUGUAAGAGUAGUCUUAAGUGUUCAUGACGUUGUGCCAGCAUUAUGCUAACACUGUGACAGACCUGAGCUUCACGUGUGUCACAGCUCUUUCACUCCACACACAUUCCUCUGAAUAAACAGACAGGAAUGCCCUCACGUGCUGUUGGCUCUAAGAUCAUAAUAUUUCGUUGAGAUACACCCCUCUACACAAUACAACUCCAUGCAAUCAAAGAACAUUCUUUUCUGGUGACUUGUUACCUGCAGUGGACUGUCACGCAAAGAGCAUUUUACAGUACAUGCUUUCAAGUUUUCAAAAUAAGAUAUGAGCAAAAGGAAUCCCCAUUUAUUUCUGAAAUGUAGCUCACACAGCCUGUAUGAGCAAAUCUCACAUUUUGAAAGAGACACAAAAUGAGUAAUUUCCUAAUACACCAAUGGUAAAGUACGAAUCACUCUUGUUUAGUUUUCUAUUUAAUUUGUUGACUAGCUACCACGGAAGGAAAGGAUGUCUUAGCAUCGCUGAGCUCUGGGUCCUGUUCAUUCUUACGGUUCUUGAGAUUUGUUGUCAUUUUUUUCCCCAUUUUGAAUAUCGCUACGUUCUCGUCAUCUUCAGUAAUGUUUCACAGAGCUUUUUUUUCUGGUUUGCACACUGUGUACAAAGUACUGCCGGACUCCCGAUCUUUUUCCUCCAGCUGGAAGCAUGGAAUACUAUAAGAAAGUGUGUGUUGUGUGAAAGUGUGGCUUCUCCUUUUAUCAUCAGGGUGUUCUAGUUUUCUCAAUCUGUUCUUUAUCUUAUUCUCUCUUAAUCUAUAUGUAAGAAAAGAUCAAGGAAUCAUAAUUUUCAUCUUAGUGCUUAAGAAUCUAUUCUUAGAAAUUCUUAGUGUUUUAAUAAGUACAGCGUGUACAUUUAUCACACAUGACUUUAAAGAGCCAGCAGCCAUGUCACCCUGCAGCUCAAACACUGGCAGCCCCACUGGAGCUCAGCAGUGAGAGCCUGGCCAGUACCUGGAGGGGAGACUCCUGGGAGAGCUGAGGCUGCUGCUGGAAGAGGUGUUAGUGGGGCCAGUAGGGGGCGCUCACCCUGCGGUCUGUGGGGGUCCUGAUGCCCCAGUAUAGUGACGGGGACACUCUACUGUAAACACGCUUUCCUUCGGAUGAGACGUAAAACCAAGGUCCUGACUCUUUGUGGUCAUUAAAAAUCCCAAAAUCUCUCGAAAAGAGAAGGGGUGUCACCCCAGUGUCCUGGCCACAUUUCCCCCUGGUCUUUACCCAUCAUGGCCUCCUAAUAACCCCCAUCUCUGAACCGGCUCCAUUAUUAUUAUAGAUUCGUGACAUGGGGUGUGGAAAAGACUGGGUGGAAAUGAGGGACCGAUACAAAACAGAAGAGGAGAGACAACAGAGAAAAGUAGGGAGCUUGCGUAGGCUGCAGAGGACCGGGAAAGGAAAGAAACGCUCCGGUUUCGCUGUGCCGCCUCCGUCGCAGAAGUCACGCCUGAAGAAGGCGCAGGCACACCCCGAUACCCGCACCCGUGACACAGCCUCCGCCCUGAGGCUCCAGGCUGCGCACACGCACUCACGGCUCUGGGGUGAGCCCCGGUCCGGCCCCACGCGCAGACGGAGGACCUCGCGUGUUCC
Long non-coding RNA from Lepisosteus oculatus (spotted gar), 4361 nucleotides. The record is from Ensembl. NCBI's taxonomy places the organism in Eukaryota, Metazoa, Chordata, Actinopteri, Semionotiformes, Lepisosteidae.